UGGGGAAUAUUGCGCAAUGGGGGAAACCCUGACGCAGCAACGCCGCUUGAGCGAUGAAGGCCUUAGGGUUGUAAAGCUCUGUUUUAAGGGACGAAUGUUACGGGGAGUAAUAUGCCCUGUAAUUGACGGUACCUUAAGAGGAAGCCCCGGCUAACUACGUGCCAGCAGCCGCGGUAAGACGUAGGGGGCGAGCGUUGUCCGGAAUUAUUGGGCGUAAAGAGCACGUAGGCGGGACUUUAAGUCAGGUGUGAAAGACCGGGGCUCAACCUCGGGGUGGCACUUGAAACUGGGGUUCUUGAGGGCAGGAGAGGAAAGUAGAAUUCCUGGUGUAGCGGUGAAAUGCGUAGAAAUCAGGAGGAAUACCAGUGGCGAAGGCGACUUUCUGGACUGACCCUGACGCUGAGGUGCGAAAGCGUGGGUAGCAAACA
This 428-nucleotide ribosomal RNA is filed under the name uncultured bacterium. RNAcentral's name for it is "bacterial SSU rRNA". It matches the Rfam family "Bacterial small subunit ribosomal RNA", at positions 355 to 774 of the family's 1533-position model. The record is from RNAcentral.